This 974-nucleotide ribosomal RNA is filed under the name Bacillus sp. BH5. Its description in RNAcentral is "bacterial SSU rRNA". It matches the Rfam family "Bacterial small subunit ribosomal RNA", at positions 378 to 1342 of the family's 1533-position model. The record is from RNAcentral. Lineage: Bacteria; Bacillati; Bacillota; Bacilli; Caryophanales; Bacillaceae.
AAAGUCUGACGGAGCAACGCCGCGUGAGUGAUGAAGGCCUUCGGGUCGUAAAGCUCUGUUGUUAGGGAAGAACAAGUACCGUUCAAAUAGGGCGGUACCAUGACGGUACCUAACCAGAAAGCCACGGCUAACUACGUGCCAGCAGCCGCGGUAAUACGUAGGUGGCAAGCGUUGUCCGGAAUUAUUGGGCGUAAAGGGCUCGCAGGCGGUUCCUUAAGUCUGAUGUGAAAGCCCACGGCUCAACCGUGGAGGGUCAUUGGAAACUGGGGAACUUGAGUACAGAAGAGGAGAGUGGAAUUCCACGUGUAGCGGUGAAAUGCGUAGAGAUGUGGAGGAACACCAGUGGCGAAGGCGACUCUCUGGUCUGUAACUGACGCUGAGGAGCGAAAGCGUGGGGAGCGAACAGGAUUAGAUACCCUGGUAGUCCACGCCGUAAACGAUGAGUGCUAAGUGUUAGAGGGUUUCCGCCCUUUAGUGCUGCAGCAAACGCAUUAAGCACUCCGCCUGGGGAGUACGGUCGCAAGACUGAAACUCAAAGGAAUUGACGGGGGCCCGCACAAGCGGUGGAGCAUGUGGUUUAAUUCGAAGCAACGCGAAGAACCUUACCAGGUCUUGACAUCCCAUGACAACUCUAGAGAUAGAGCGUUCCCCUUCGGGGGACAUGGUGACAGGUGGUGCAUGGUUGUCGUCAGCUCGUGUCGUGAGAUGUUGGGUUAAGUCCCGCAACGAGCGCAACCCUUGAUCUUAGUUGCCAGCAUUUAGUUGGGCACUCUAAGGUGACUGCCGGUGACAAACCGGAGGAAGGUGGGGAUGACGUCAAAUCAUCAUGCCCCUUAUGACCUGGGCUACACACGUGCUACAAUGGAUGGUACAAAGGGCUGCGAGACUGCGAAGUUAAGCGAAUCCCAUAAAACCAUUCUCAGUUCGGAUUGCAGGCUGCAACUCGCCUGCAUGAAGCUGGAAUCGCUAGUAAU